UUAAGCGACCAAGCGUACACGGUGGAUGCCCUGGCAGUCAGAGGCGAUGAAGGACGUGCUAAUCUGCGAAAAGCGCCGGUAAGGUGAUAUGAACCGUUAUAACCGGCGAUGUCCGAAUGGGGAAACCCAGUGUGACUCGUCACACUAUCAUUAACUGAAUCCAUAGGUUAAUGAGGCGAACCGGGGGAACUGAAACAUCUAAGUACCCCGAGGAAAAGAAAUCAACCGAGAUUCCCCCAGUAGCGGCGAGCGAACGGGGAGGAGCCCAGAGCCUGAAUCAGCAUGUGUGUUAGUGGAAGCGUCUGGAAAGGCGCGCGAUACAGGGUGAGAGCCCCGUACACAAAAGCGCACAUGCUGUGAGCUCGAUGAGUAGGGCGGGACACGUGGUAUCCUGUCUGAAUAUGGGGGGACCAUCCUCCAAGGCUAAAUACUCCUGACUGACCGAUAGUGAACCAGUACCGUGAGGGAAAGGCGAAAAGAACCCCGGCGAGGGGAGUGAAACAGAACCUGAAACCGUGUACGUACAAGCAGUGGGAGCCCCACCACUAAGCCAGUGGUGAACUCCACAUACGCAUCCUUUGCGGAAGAUGCGGUUAACGGAGCGAAAGCGACGUUCAACCUCAGAAGAAGCAGAGGGGGCUUAGUGGUGGGGUGACUGCGUACCUUUUGUAUAAUGGGUCAGCGACUUAUAUUCUGUAGCAAGGUUAACCGCAUAGGGGAGCCGAAGGGAAACCGAGUCUUAAUUGGGCGUUAAGUUGCAGGGUAUAGACCCGAAACCCGGUGAUCUAGCCAUGGGCAGGUUGAAGGUUGGGUAACACUAACUGGAGGACCGAACCGACUAAUGUUGAAAAAUUAGCGGAUGACCUGUGGCUGGGGGUGAAAGGCCAAUCAAACCGGGAGAUAGCUGGUUCUCCCCGAAAGCUAUUUAGGUAGCGCCUCGUGAAUUCAUCUCCGGGGGUAGAGCACUGUUUCGGCUAGGGGGCCAUCCCGGCUUACCAACCCGAUGCAAACUGCGAAUACCGGAGAAUGUUAUCACGGGAGACACACGGCGGGUGCUAACGUCCGUCGUGAAGAGGGAAACAACCCAGACCGCCAGCUAAGGUCCCAAAGUCAUGGUUAAGUGGGAAACGAUGUGGGAAGGCCCAGACAGCCAGGAUGUUGGCUUAGAAGCAGCCAUCAUUUAAAGAAAGCGUAAUAGCUCACUGGUCGAGUCGGCCUGCGCGGAAGAUGUAACGGGGCUAAACCAUGCACCGAAGCUGCGGCAGCGACACUGUGUGUUGUUGGGUAGGGGAGCGUUCUGUAAGCCGUUGAAGGUGUCCUGUGAGGGGUGCUGGAGGUAUCAGAAGUGCGAAUGCUGACAUAAGUAACGAUAAAGCGGGUGAAAAGCCCGCUCGCCGGAAGACCAAGGGUUCCUGUCCAACGUUAAUCGGGGCAGGGUGAGUCGACCCCUAAGGCGAGGCCGAAAGGCGUAGUCGAUGGGAAACGGGUUAAUAUUCCCGUACUUGGUGUUACUGCGAAGGGGGGACGGAGAAGGCUAUGUUGGCCGGGCGACGGUUGUCCCGGUUUAAGCGUGUAGGUGUGUGUUCCAGGUAAAUCCGGUUCACUUUAACACUGAGGCGUGAUGACGAGGCACCACGGUGCUGAAGCAACAAAUGCCCUGCUUCCAGGAAAAGCCUCUAAGCAUCAGGUAACAUCAAAUCGUACCCCAAACCGACACAGGUGGUCAGGUAGAGAAUACCAAGGCGCUUGAGAGAACUCGGGUGAAGGAACUAGGCAAAAUGGUGCCGUAACUUCGGGAGAAGGCACGCUGACACGUAGGUGAAGUGAUUUACUCAUGGAGCUGAAGUCAGUCGAAGAUACCAGCUGGCUGCAACUGUUUAUUAAAAACACAGCACUGUGCAAACACGAAAGUGGACGUAUACGGUGUGACGCCUGCCCGGUGCCGGAAGGUUAAUUGAUGGGGUCAGCGCAAGCGAAGCUCCUGAUCGAAGCCCCGGUAAACGGCGGCCGUAACUAUAACGGUCCUAAGGUAGCGAAAUUCCUUGUCGGGUAAGUUCCGACCUGCACGAAUGGCGUAAUGAUGGCCAGGCUGUCUCCACCCGAGACUCAGUGAAAUUGAACUCGCUGUGAAGAUGCAGUGUACCCGCGGCAAGACGGAAAGACCCCGUGAACCUUUACUAUAGCUUGACACUGAACAUUGAGCCUUGAUGUGUAGGAUAGGUGGGAGGCUUUGAAGCGUGGACGCCAGUCUGCGUGGAGCCGACCUUGAAAUACCACCCUUUAAUGUUUGAUGUUCUAACGUGGACCCGUAAUCCGGGUUGCGGACAGUGUCUGGUGGGUAGUUUGACUGGGGCGGUCUCCUCCUAAAGAGUAACGGAGGAGCACGAAGGUUGGCUAAUCCUGGUCGGACAUCAGGAGGUUAGUGCAAUGGCAUAAGCCAGCUUGACUGCGAGCGUGACGGCGCGAGCAGGUGCGAAAGCAGGUCAUAGUGAUCCGGUGGUUCUGAAUGGAAGGGCCAUCGCUCAACGGAUAAAAGGUACUCCGGGGAUAACAGGCUGAUACCGCCCAAGAGUUCAUAUCGACGGCGGUGUUUGGCACCUCGAUGUCGGCUCAUCACAUCCUGGGGCUGAAGUAGGUCCCAAGGGUAUGGCUGUUCGCCAUUUAAAGUGGUACGCGAGCUGGGUUUAGAACGUCGUGAGACAGUUCGGUCCCUAUCUGCCGUGGGCGCUGGAAGACUGAGGGGGGCUGCUCCUAGUACGAGAGGACCGGAGUGGACGCAUCACUGGUGUUCGGGUUGUCAUGCCAAUGGCACUGCCCGGUAGCUAAAUGCGGAAAAGAUAAGUGCUGAAAGCAUCUAAGCACGAAACUUGCCCCGAGAUGAGUCUUCCCUGAGACCUUGAGUCUCCUGAAGGAACGUUAAAGACGAUGACGUUGAUAGGCCGGGUGUGUAAGCGCAGCGAUGCGUUGAGCUAACCGGUACUAAUGAACCGUGAGGCUUAACCUU
RNAcentral lists this ribosomal RNA (3004 nucleotides) under Salmonella enterica subsp. diarizonae. RNAcentral describes it as "bacterial LSU rRNA". It matches the Rfam family "Bacterial large subunit ribosomal RNA". Lineage: Bacteria; Pseudomonadati; Pseudomonadota; Gammaproteobacteria; Enterobacterales; Enterobacteriaceae. The record is from RNAcentral.